CCAAUAGCGUAUAUUAAAGUUGUUGCAGUUAAAAAGCUCGUAGUUGAAUUUCGGGAUCAAUUUAUCGGUCGUGCCUACGGUAUGAACUGGUACAAUUGGUUUCUCCCUUCUGACGAAGCUCGAUGUCAUUAACUUGGUGUCGGGGGGAAUCAGGACUGUUACUUUGAAAAAAUUAGAGUGUUUAAAGCAGGUCUUGGAUUGAAUACAUUAGCAUGGAAUAAUGAACUAGGAAGUUUGAUCCUAUUUCGUUGGUUUCUAGGAUCGACGUAAUGAUUAAUAGGGAUAGUUGGGGGCAUUAGUAUUCAAUUGUCAGAGGUGAAAUUCUUGGAUUUAUUGAAGACUAACUACUGCGAAAGCAUUUGCCAAGGAUGUUUUCAUUAAUCAAGAACGAAAGUUAGGGGAUCGAAGACGAUCAGAUACCGUCGUAGUCUUAACCAUAAACUAUGCCGACUAGGGAUCGGAUGAUGUUAAUUUUUUAAUGACUCAUUCGGCGCCUUACG
Molecule: ribosomal RNA, 500 nt
Filed under: uncultured Glomeromycotina
Lineage: Eukaryota; Fungi; Glomeromycota
Description: partial small subunit ribosomal RNA
Rfam family: Eukaryotic small subunit ribosomal RNA
Source: RNAcentral